RNAcentral lists this ribosomal RNA (300 nucleotides) under Trichoderma sp. Its description in RNAcentral is "partial large subunit ribosomal RNA". It matches the Rfam family "Eukaryotic large subunit ribosomal RNA", at positions 113 to 415 of the family's 3401-position model. Lineage: Eukaryota; Fungi; Ascomycota; Sordariomycetes; Hypocreales; Hypocreaceae. The record is from RNAcentral.
AUUUGAAAUCUGGCCCUUACGGGUCCGAGUUGUAAUUUGUAGAGGAUGCUUUUGGCAAGGCGCCGCCGGAUGCACCCUGGAACGGGACGCCACAGAGGGUGAGAGCCCCGUCUGGCUGGCCGCCGAGCCUCUGUAAAGCUCCUUCGACGAGUCGAGUAGUUUGGGAAUGCUGCUCAAAAUGGGAGGUAUAUGUCUUCUAAAGCUAAAUAUUGGCCAGAGACCGAUAGCGCACAAGUAGAGUGAUCGAAAGAUGAAAAGCACCUUGAAAAGAGGGUUAAAUAGUACGUGGGGGAUGAUGGG